This is a long non-coding RNA of Rhineura floridana, 687 nucleotides long. RefSeq lists it as uncharacterized. Lineage: Eukaryota; Metazoa; Chordata; Lepidosauria; Squamata; Rhineuridae. The record is from RefSeq and is a predicted model, not a curated record. The transcript is spliced from 4 exons.
AAGGAGAUUCAGAGAAGAGCUACCAAACUGAUAGGGACACACCCACAAAACACGAGUGAGAAACCACCACAUUAGAAAAAACAAAUAUGGCUGAAAAAUCACUACUGGCUUAUUAAAACCCACUCUUCAACCGAAAAGGCUUCCAGAGCAGAUCAAGAGAAAUACAAAUGCAGUCCUCCUCUAUAACAGUUGAUGAGGAUCACCAUACUGUCCUACACAGAGUUAAACCACCACCACCACCAUCGUGCCAGAUUGUCAAUAGCUGCCAAAUGGAAUGAGAACCACAUGUUGUUCAAGAUAAACACCUGUGCCCAAACCAGCUGAAUAUACGCACAACUGGCAGAAGUAGAAUGUGACAAAAUUAUCAUUUCUACACAGCUAUUAAAGCCCUUGAAUUCUGUUAGAUAUUGCACCUGAGAAGCUUAGAAGGGCAAUGUACAACCUGUGCACAGCAUUUGUGCAACUUGAAGAUGCUUAAGAAAAUGUUACAGAAUUCUCACUCUCCACAACUUGGCUUAUUGAAGUAGUGAAAAGAGUGCCGUUAGCUCCUCAGAUUGGCUCCAAUCAGCAGAAAACUACAAGGACACAAGUUAGAAGACUCUUCUCAGUGGCUAAUACACUCCCCUUUCAUGCUGACUGGCUCAUAGGAUGCUGGAGACAUAAGGACCCUGCUGGGACCUUGCUCCC